Paxillus ammoniavirescens is the source of this 84-nucleotide non-coding RNA. The record is from the annotation of a GenBank genome assembly. Lineage: Eukaryota; Fungi; Basidiomycota; Agaricomycetes; Boletales; Paxillaceae.
UGCCCCAUGGCUGAGUUGGUUACAGCGUCCGACUGUUACUCAAUAAACAUCGGAAGGUCGUGAGUUCGAGCCUCACUGGGGCAG